CCUACGGGUGGCAGCAGUGAGGAAUAUUGGACAAUGGGCGCAAGCCUGAACCAGCCAAGUCGCGUGAGGGAAGACGGCCCUACGGGUUGUAAACCUCUUUUGCUGGGGAGCAAGCCUGAGCACAUGUGCCCAGGCGGAGAGUACCCGGAGAACAAGCAUCGGCUAACUCCGUGCCAGCAGCCGCGGUAAUAGGGAGGAUGCGAGCGUUAGCCGGUUUAGUGGGGUUUACAGGGUGCUCAGGCGGGCUGUUAAGCAGGCGGUAAAAAGUCAGGGCUAAACCCUGUCGAGCCGUCGAAACUGGCAGUCUUGAGUGGGCGAGAAGUAUGCGGAAUGCGUGGUGUAGCGGUGAAAUGCAUAGAUAUCACGCAGAACGCCGAUUGCGAAGGCAGCAUACCGGCGCCCAACUGACGCUGAGGCACGAAAGCGUGGGGAUCGAACAGGAUUAGAUACCCCGGUAGUC
Molecule: ribosomal RNA, 460 nt
Filed under: uncultured bacterium
Lineage: Bacteria
Description: partial 16S ribosomal RNA
Rfam family: Bacterial small subunit ribosomal RNA
Source: RNAcentral